Molecule: non-coding RNA, 87 nt
Organism: Streptococcus pyogenes M1 GAS
Lineage: Bacteria; Bacillati; Bacillota; Bacilli; Lactobacillales; Streptococcaceae
Rfam family: RNA anti-toxin A
Source: Rfam
UAAUGGACAUAGAAAAAGGAGAUUGCGCAAACAAUCUCCUGUGGUAACACCGUUUAAGACGGCAGCCUUACCGUAUUUGUUUAUAUU